RNAcentral lists this ribosomal RNA (247 nucleotides) under uncultured bacterium. RNAcentral describes it as "partial 16S ribosomal RNA". It matches the Rfam family "Bacterial small subunit ribosomal RNA", at positions 8 to 245 of the family's 1533-position model. The record is from RNAcentral.
AGAGUUUGAUCCUGGCUCAGGAUGAACGCCAGCUACAGGCUUAACACAUGCAAGUCGAGGGGCAGCGCGGCGGAAGCUUGCUUCCGCUGGCGGCGACCGGCGCACGGGUGCGUAACGCGUAUCCAACUUGCCCUUGUCCCGGGGAUAGCCUCGCGAAAGCGAGAAUAAUACCCGGUGUAGCCACGGUUCCGCAUGGGAUUGUGGCGAUAGGUCCCGCCGGACAAGGAUAGGGAUGCAUCCCAUUAGG